UCCACUUCUAAUGGUUGAGUACACAGGCUCAGAGAGUAAAGCAAUUUGCCUUAGGCCACACAGCCAGUAAGUGACAGAACUGAGACUUCAGCUAGGUCUGUCUGGUUCUAAAUUCCAAAUUUAUAACUACCAAGCGACGGGGCCUCAAUCCAUCUAAACCUUUGAGUAUGGGAUGUUACAGCAAGGUUCCCCAGAAUCUGGACUGGUUGCUAAAUGAGCUACUGUGAUGCUGACCAUGAAGCUUAGAGAGCAGUACCACAAACAUGGCAGCCGCUGUCUUCAUUAAAGGCCAGACUUUCUGUGUUACUUAUAUGGAAGGAUCUGUUUGUUACGCUUUUGACCUUUCAUCAAGGCAUAGAAAAUAGCAUUACCUUCAUCUUCAGACUCAAAGUUCCCUGAUUUUCUGCUGACUGCUAUGUUUAUUAAAAGUGCACAUUUAACCCAUUGGUAUUAAUUCAUGAAAAAGCUGUUCAAACAUUAUUAACCCUGAAAUUUUAUAUGCUCCAAAGCUCCUUCAGAUUGAAUACUUAUAAUACUCUAGUCCUUAUAUGAGAGGAUUCAGACAUGUGAUGUUCAGCAAGGAAGUUCAAAUGCGGGCAUUGAUGACUGACAAAAGCACAAAAGACUAUUUUUCAGAUUCAUGUUGCUCUAAGUUCUGGCUAGAAUUUGUGAAAGGAAGCAACACACAUACGCAUGAGAGAGGAAGAGAGAGAGAGAGAGAAUGUAUUCACAUAGUAUUUUGGCCUGUUUGAAAGCAGGAAGUACUAAAAAUACUGUUUAAAAGCAUGAUCUCAUGAGAUUUCUACCCCACUUUAGCAGGACGAAAUAUUUGGUUUAUACAGAUAAUCAAACAUUGGAAGCUGGCACUAGGAUCAGUCCAACAAAACCUGCAAUUCUUCCAUUGCGACUUGCAAACUUUAUUUGCUGGAAUGGGGGGCCAGAAAUUACUCACACUCCUGUGACAAUUAGCUAUUCAGAGAGUACGUCUCUAUGUGACUCAGAUGUACUUCACUCAGAGUGAUGGAGAAAUGCAAGUCUGAAUCACAGAUUGCUAACAAAGCGAUGCAGAUGAAUCUAUUAAAGUAUAUCUCCUCACUGUUUUGUUUUUGACUUCCAAUUGGCACUUUUUCUUGCCUUUCAGCUUUGAAACUUGAGAAUAAAAUGCCUCUGGAAACAAAGCAAAGCGAGCUGAAGUGUGUGUGUUAUACAGAAUACUGAGAGCGAUCUUUGUGUCGUGCACAGCUACAGCUGUCACUGAUUUUUCAUCUACAGUAAGGUCAGCCAGACACAAAGACCCAAGACAACACAUUCAGUAGCAUCUUUGUUCUCGUCUCAGUCUGAAAGAGUGAAAUAUUCAGUGAGGAUCUGCUGGACCCACUGCUGGAGUUAUGAAUCCUUUUAGAGCUAUGGACCUUCCGCGAGAACCGGAUUCAAACGAUGGACUCUCAC
This 1449-nucleotide long non-coding RNA is filed under the name Equus caballus (horse). RNAcentral describes it as "lncRNA (ENSECAG00000058799.1)". The record is from RNAcentral. Lineage: Eukaryota; Metazoa; Chordata; Mammalia; Perissodactyla; Equidae.